GCAUCGAUGAAGAACGCAGCGAAAUGCGAUAAGUAAUGUGAAUUGCUGAAUUCAGUGAAUCAUCGAAUCUUUGAACGCACCUUGCGCCCCUUGGUAUUCCGAGGGGCAUGCCUGUUUGAGUGUCAUUAAAUUCUCAAACUCACAUUUAUUUGUGAUGUUUGGAUUGUUGGGGGUUGCUGGCUGUAACAAGUCAGCUCCUCUUAAAUGCAUUAGCAGGACUCCUCAUUGCCUCUGCGCAUGAUGUGAUAAUUAUCACUCACCAAUAGCACGCAUGAAUAGAGUCCAGCUCGCUAAUCGUCCACAAGGACAAUUUGACAAUUUGACCUCAAAUCAGGUAGGACUACCCGCUGAACUUAAGCAUAUCAAUAAGCGGAGGA
This 377-nucleotide ribosomal RNA is filed under the name uncultured Basidiomycota. Its description in RNAcentral is "partial 18S ribosomal RNA". The stretch from base 1 to 125 matches the Rfam family "5.8S ribosomal RNA", at positions 30 to 154 of the family's 154-position model. Lineage: Eukaryota; Fungi; Basidiomycota. The record is from RNAcentral.